ACUCCUACGGGAGGCAGCAGUGGGGAAUAUUGCACAAUGGGCGCAAGCCUGAUGCAGCAACGCCGCGUGAGGGACGACGGCCUUCGGGUUGUAAACCUCUUUUAGUAGGGAAGAAGCGAAAGUGACGGUACCUGCAGAAAAAGCACCGGCUAACUACGUGCCAGCAGCCGCGGUAAUACGUAGGGUGCAAGCGUUAUCCGGAAUUAUUGGGCGUAAAGAGCUCGUAGGCGGUUUGUCGCGUCUGCUGUGAAAACUGGAGGCUCAACCUCCAGCCUGCAGUGGGUACGGGCAGACUAGAGUGCGGUAGGGGAGAUUGGAAUUCCUGGUGUAGCGGUGGAAUGCGCAGAUAUCAGGAGGAACACCGAUGGCGAAGGCAGAUCUCUGGGCCGUAACUGACGCUGAGGAGCGAAAGCAUGGGGAGCGAACAGGAUUAGAUACCCUGGUAGUCCAUGCCGUAAACGUUGGGAACUAGAUGUAGGGGCCAUUCCACGGUUUCUGUGUCGCAGCUAACGCAUUAAGUUCCCCGCCUGGGGAGUACGGCCGCAAGGCUAAAACUCAAAGGAAUUGACGGGGGCCCGCACAAGCGGCGGAGCAUGCGGAUUAAUUCGAUGCAACGCGAAGAACCUUACCAAGGCUUGACAUAUACCGGAAAAGUGCAGAAAUGUGCUCCCCGCAAGGUCGGUAUACAGGUGGUGCAUGGUUGUCGUCAGCUCGUGUCGUGAGAUGUUGGGUUAAGUCCCGCAACGAGCGCAACCCUCGUUCUAUGUUGCCAGCACGUAAUGGUGGGAACUCAUAGGAGACUGCCGGGGUCAACUCGGA
This 819-nucleotide ribosomal RNA is filed under the name uncultured Actinomycetes bacterium. RNAcentral's name for it is "bacterial SSU rRNA". It matches the Rfam family "Bacterial small subunit ribosomal RNA", at positions 335 to 1167 of the family's 1533-position model. Lineage: Bacteria; Bacillati; Actinomycetota; Actinomycetes. The record is from RNAcentral.